RNAcentral lists this long non-coding RNA (231 nucleotides) under Gossypium barbadense (sea-island cotton). RNAcentral's name for it is "long non-coding RNA (GBAR_LNC010462)". The record is from RNAcentral. Lineage: Eukaryota; Viridiplantae; Streptophyta; Magnoliopsida; Malvales; Malvaceae.
GCAACUUAAUAAAUUUCUAGCUUUGAAGUGCCACACGCCCGUGUAGGUGGGCCGUGUGGACUCACACGCCCGUUUGGCUUGGGGCACGCCCAUGCCCUUAGCCCGUGGGCAACACUGACUUUUGAACACGACCAUGGCACACACCCAUGCUGCCUGUUCGUAUUCAAUACUAACUUUGGGACACGGCUAUGGGACACGCCCGUGUGACCCACCCGUGUCCUAUACUAACUC